GAAAUGCGAUAAGUAGUGUGAAUUGCAGAAUUCAGUGAAUCAUCGAAUCUUUGAACGCACAUUGCGCCCGCCAGCACUCUGGCGGGCAUGCCUGUUCGAGCGUCAUUUCAACCCUCAGAACCCCUUGCGGGAUCUGGCGUUGGGGAUUGGCAUCCAGCCAGCCCCGAAAUCUAGUGGCGGUCCCUCCGCGACCUCCCCUGUGCAGUAGCGAUACCUCGCAGCGGGACAGCGGUCUGACCACGCCGUAAAACCCCCAACUUCUCAAGGUUGACCUCGAAUCAGGUAGGAAUACCCGCUGAACUUAGGC
Molecule: unclassified non-coding RNA, 307 nt
Filed under: plant metagenome
Description: partial contains 5.8S ribosomal RNA, internal transcribed spacer 2, and large subunit ribosomal RNA
Rfam family: 5.8S ribosomal RNA (bases 1-105)
Source: RNAcentral